GAGAAGGAUGUCUAUGAGGCUCAAAUCCUGUCAUGAAUCUCAAAGAACUGGCUCAAUAAAUAAAAAGAUCAUGGCAGCCGAGGUUGCAGGAACUGCUGCAAGUAGCUAACCUGCAUUUUGAAAAGGCUCCAUGACGCUCUCUGCAACUUGGAACUGAAAGGAGCUCAAGCUGUCAGGGAGCCGGUGUUCUCCGUCAAGGGGCUGGACACUGAAUCCAGAAUCUCACACAUGCCAGGAACCUGAAGAAGCCAGAAAAUGGUGCUGGAUCCCUUGGAGUUGGAGUUACAGACAGUUGUGGCCUGCCAAACAUGGAUGCUGGAAACUGAACUCUGGCCCUCUGCAAGAGCAGCAAGCGCUCUUAACCACUGAGCCAUCUCUAGAAACUCCCAGCAUUAAAAAUU
Peromyscus californicus insignis is the source of this 401-nucleotide long non-coding RNA. RefSeq lists it as uncharacterized. The record is from RefSeq and is a predicted model, not a curated record. Lineage: Eukaryota; Metazoa; Chordata; Mammalia; Rodentia; Cricetidae. The transcript is spliced from 3 exons.